UAGCUUUUGGAGGAAGUGAGGCCCUGCCACACCUUGAUUUUGGAUUUUUGGCUUCCAGACUGAGAUGUUAAUGCCUGUUGUUAACAGAAAACAAAUAUUAUGGGAAACAUCAAAUUUAAUAGUGAAAAUUUAGAAGCAUGAUCGUAUCAUGAGUUGAGGAAAAGACAAGAAUGCCUGCUACCAUUUCUAAUCUAUCUUUUUUUUUUUUUUUAAGUCCUAACUAAUCCAAGAAAGCAACAAAAGUCAGGAAAGAAAAGCCAGAAAUGUUCUUGUUUUCAAUAAAUGGGGUGGAAGUGGCAUAAUAAUCACAAUACAUCAUUUAUUCUAGGGAGUUGGGGAUCUACCGCUUUUCAAAUUUGUCUGUAGUGCUAGAACACCUAAGAAUCCUGGGGACAAAUCAGAAUUUUUGCCUGUCCACUCUUUGGGCUUCUCUUUGUAUUUCCAUGGCAUGUUUUCCCCAUCAUUCACCUCACUCUGACUUUGGUUCCCUGAUUAGAAAAAAUUGUAAAGUUCUAUGGUCAUUGGAAUUGGCAUUCUGUUAUUAUAUUUGAUGGACAUAGAAAUUGUUGCUUUAAUUUAUCGUCAUCAUAGUAAACAUGUUAUAAGUAUUAAAUUAUACUUAUUAACACUUCAUGUUUCUGAAAGUAAUUUAUCUUUUAAAUAUAAUGUGUGUAUGACUUCAGAUAUUAAAUGCAUAUUUAUAUACCCAUUUUAAUCAAAUUAUAGCAUAGCAUAUCUCUUCAGCAAUUGAGAUGACCACAAAAUAAGUCAAAGUCUAUAUAACUUGGCACUAAUUAACUUGAGUAGAAAUUGAAACUGGAAUAAUGCUUGAAACUGGAUGUUGACUUCUUUUGGGGGUGCAAGCUGAAUGUGGAGUAUAUGGAAGUUCCCCAGCUAGGGGUUGAAACAGGACUGCAGACUUUGCCACAGCCACAGCCACAACAAUGCCAGAUCCGAGCUGCAACUGCAUCCUACAGCACAGCUCAUGGCAAUGCUGGAUCCUUAACCCACUGAGUGAGGCCAGGGAUCAAACCUGCAUCCUAUGGUUACUCGUUGGGUUCCUUACCACUGAGCCACAAAAGGAACUCAUUUUAUUUUUAAUAUUCAUUUUCUGAGGAAGGAAUAUUAUCAAAGAUCAGAAAAGAGGAAGUUAAAAAAAAAAAGCCACAAGGGGAACUCCCAGAUAUUGAGCUCUUAAAGGGAGUGGGUACCCAAACCAUGACUGUUCUUUUUCCUAAAAUAUAGAGAAGGAAUUGGAAUAUGUAUAUGAUACUUCGAGUGCUUUGGAUGUGUCCAAGUAGGUCCAAGUAUGGCCACAUUGUUCUAGAGUUUGGAAAUUGGUAGAAACUAAGUCUACUUCUGUGAUUACCUUUGUGGUCUUGGACAACUCGGUUUAUUUAUCUGGCCCUCAGUUUCCUCCCCCUAUAAAAUGAUUAAACUGAAUUAGGUUAUCUCUCAAAUGAUUUCCAUUUCUAAAAUUCCUUGAGUGGUUAGGCACAAAACAAUGAUAUCUACUAUUAUUCAGAUAUUUUUUUAAUAUCUAUAAUGAUGUUAAAUAUUUUACUUACAUUAUUUUAUUAAAAUAAUAUAUUUUAUUAAAACAUCACAUCAUUUCUCUGAGGAAGAAAUUAUAAGUCCAGAUUUAUAAAUGAGAGAACAAAGAGAGAGAGAGAAAAACUGGACAAAGCCAUACAAUUAUAAAAUCACAAAGGUAGAAUUUGAACCAUAGUCAUCUUGGUAUUAAUCACUAUAUUAUCCUACAAACAUUCAGCCUUAAUUGUUCUGAUUUAAUAAAUAUAAUUAUUCCAAUUAUCCAGUUAUUCUAAAGUGUCCCAUCCAGGUCUGUCCUAUAUUCCAAAAAAGCAAUAACUUAAAUUGUGCUGCUGAACCAACUGUCAGUAUUAAUCUUCCCAGCCCUGAACAAAAAUGAAGUGAUGUGAUACUCACAUGCAACCUGAAGUUGCCUGCUUCUCUCUACCACUAGAUGUAAACGUCACUAUCAUGAUAUGCACAUACCAUCUAACAUGUUAUACAGUGUAUUUAUUUAUUAUGUUUAUUGUUUAUUUUCUGUAUGUCCUAUACAAUGUAAGUUUGGCAGGGAAAAGAUAUUUGUCUCUCUUGUUUACUAAAUCCUAGUACUCAGAACCAUACCUGGUACAUAAUAAAUGCCCAAUAGAUAUUUAAUAAAUAGAAGAACAAAUAAUCAGGGGUAGAUAUUUACACCCAAAUUUAUAUGUAUACAUGACUUAAUUAUGUGAUUGAAUUGGAGUUGCACAUAUAUUUUUACUGUUUUACAAUAUGUAGUUUUCUUUCCAAUCACUUUCAAUAAACUCUGUCUUAUUUUUAAGUCUUGAGUUGGAUUGUAAAGAUCUAGAAAUAAGUUCUGAUGUCUGGACUGUUGAAAUUGCUUGAUAACAGUAAUUAAGUCUCUCUGGGUAGAUCAUGCAAGCAGACCUCUUACAUUAUUAGAGUAUCUACUCAUGUAUAAGGAUUGUCUUUUCUGUUUGCUUGUUCUAAAUGUUACACCUGGACCUCCCACACUUUAAAAGUUAAGGUUAGUGGCCAAGCAGACUUGGAAAUAUCCCAUUUAGAUGAUCACAUAAUAACCGUUUAAUGUGUUUUUGUUGAUUGAUUGUAAAUUGGAGUCAACUUAUUUGAAAUUAUCUCUCUGCCAGUGAAGCUUCAUGUGAGAUUCAAUAUUCAGGUUUUUGUUUCCCUAUUUAGUCACAACAUGCUUAUGAUUCCUCUUAUCUAAUUAAGUAUUCUUGAGCCAAAAUGAAUACAACCUUUGUUUUGAAGGCAUAACUGUGUUGCUUUCUGAGACUCAAAGAAUAAAGCCUCUUUAAAUGGCUGCUGUUUUGGUUUGGAAGCUAAUGACAACCAAAGAAAAAUUAUGCAUCAAAUGUAAGUCACCAUCUUUGCAAUCAGCCUGUACCUUCCUAGAGAUCAAAAUCUACAAUUUUGUUGUAAACUUUACUUUUCCAACUUAAUUUGGAUUAUUUCUGGGCAUUCAGUUUUUUCUUUACCAAAGGCUUGAUAUACAACCAUGAAAACCCCAUUCUUCUUAGUUUAAUUGAAUUGUAUGGAUUGAGUUGAAUGUUUUAAAUCAAGUGUGCCCCCUAACAGAUGAACAUGGAGAAAGGCAGGAAAUGGCUACAUGCCUAGUUACCCUAGAGGCACAUUUAGAGUUGUGUUGUGUAAUACCUGUGGUUGGAGAAGCCCUUGCCACAAAGAACCUGGGUUACUCUAUGGUCUGUUUACUUUUCAUAAACCUUUACCAAGUGCAUUUCAAAAAUAGACCAUCCUAGAUAGCUUAAGAUCUGAAGCCAUUCUUAUCACUAGGGAAUGAAAGACAUUUCACUGUGAAAAAAAAUGAUGUAACAAACUUCAACUCUACUUCUCUUGAGUAUUUUCAACAAGAAUACCACCCCCAAGUCUGUCAGAGGUGAUAAGAAAAGAAGGUAGAAAAGUACCUGUACCUGGUCUAAUAAGAUGUCUGGUGCCAUCUUAAAAGCUGGACUCGUGGUUCUUUAUUGGCUCUUGGUUUAGGCUCAAAGGUUUGAUUCAUUGCAUGUUUAUCAUUUUAGGGUUUUCUCAUUGUCAGCGAUUUAAUUAGUAACUCCCUUAAAAAUUGUUUCAGAUAUCCUACAUACAUCUCCUGAACCAGAAGAAAAAUUCUUCAUGGUUUCUUUUUAGCAUUACAUUCAGGUUUCUUCUCUCCUACCUCCUCCAAGGUCUUCCUGACAGUCUUAAACCCAUACACACACAAACACAGACACAUACAUCUAUGGUCUUUAUUCUUAAAGCAAUUCUAGCCUACUGAAUACAGGGCAUAAAAACCUAGUAUAAGUAGACCAAACAUUGGACAUAAAGAAUCUCUAACCAUUUAUCCCUGUGAACUAGCAGCAAGAACAACAAAAGCCACUUAUUAAGCUGUUUAUUCUGAGUUAGCCUUUGCUAGUGAGAAGCUGAAACUUUAUACGGAACUUUAAAUGAAAUUUGGACCAUUAUAAAUGUUAUCCUCAAAAUUGUGCUAAUGUUUACUAAACAAUAAUGCCACAAGUCAAAAUUAACUUUUGACCUCUGCCAGUUAGCACAGUCUAGUGUCAAGAGGAUGGGCACCAGCUGCACUAAAUUAAGGCUGUGCCUUCUUAUGCAAAAAUCUUUCUGAGUCUUAGUUUCCUAAAACGGAAUACGAAAAUACUAAACCUGCCUGGCAGAGUUAUUGUAAAGGUUUUUUAAAGACUAUAGAUAAUAUGCAAUAAACCUACCUAAUAUUACAAAUCAAAUAGAUCUGAAGUAAAGAAAAAUACUCACAUUGUGAAACUGAGUAGAGGCAAAUCAUUUACAAACUCACCAUGCUCCCCAAUGGAAUUUCACAGAAAGACCCCAAUAAGCUCGUCCUUCUGAGAACACUUUCUUAUACUGUGUUUUCUCACAUACUCUUUCUCUCAUACCACUCUUCUAUUUUUACACUGUGUAGAGAUCAUCAUUAUCUGUGUUUUCUAUAACUAGUCCUUCUAGUUACCGUCACAGACAGCUUAUGACCUUGUGACCGGGAGACUUUCAAUACAAAAAAGAGAAUAUUAAUUGCAGGCUCAUGAUUUGCCAGAAACCACCAAAAGUGCUUAUUGUUUAUAUAGCACCUUUCCUUUAUGUACUUCAUAUUUAUGGACAAAGAUGUUUAAGGAUGAUGCUAAAAAUUCCUUAGUCACCAUGGGCUAGGUGAAGCCAAUGAUCUCAAUGUUAUAAUUGAAGAUGUGGGAGAUGAAAAAAUGAAGAUAGAUGGGAUAGUCCCUCCUGGUUAAAGAGAAUAUAAGCUGGGCACUUAGAGAGAUGCAGUCUCUAAACUGUGUGCCUGGGUACAGACACAGCUCUCAGCCAUCAUUAGCGCCUUUCCCAGCAUGUGGCAUGGAGUAUCCAGUGAAUGUGAGCAAAGGAAAAAACAGAAGCAGACUGAUUAUUAGACUCUGAAGGAAGGUUCAUAUACCUACACUUGCACCAAAACAGAAAUUAUAUAUAAUCAGCAAGCAUAAAUUAACAUUUUUUCCUGGAAAUUCAAAUAUUAAUGACACCAAGACCCACUCAUACUGUCUGCCUCCCUCUCUGCUUGGACUUAGCCUGGAACAAGAAUUGCACACAGUGGAUAUUGAAUGAAAGUUCUCUGCUUCUGCAUAUUUUUAGAAGGAAACAGAAAAAAACAAGGUGCAAAGAUAAAAUGUUUUUAUUCAGGUUUUCUCAAGGGCUUAUAGAAAGGUCACAUUCAUUUGGAAGCAGUACAAGCUUCUAGAGACAAUGCUCAUGUCACCAUUAGGAAAAAACAUAUAAGAAAAAUAUAUUAAGGAAAAGAAAAAAAAGUCUUGCCCAAGGCAAUCCUUUCAAAAUCUGAUGACAAAUGUCAUAGUACUAUUGGACUUGUGGAAUAAGCUACAUUUUAAAAUG
RNAcentral lists this long non-coding RNA (5442 nucleotides) under Sus scrofa (pig). RNAcentral describes it as "lncRNA (ENSSSCG00000057739.1)". Lineage: Eukaryota; Metazoa; Chordata; Mammalia; Artiodactyla; Suidae. The record is from RNAcentral.